GUCAAAUCAUCAUGCCCCUUAUGCCCUGGGCUACACACGUGCUACAAUGGCCGGAACAGCGGGAGGCGAAAGGGCGACCUGGAGCGAAUCCCUGUAAAUCCGGUCCCAGUUCGGAUCGCAGGCUGCAACUCGCCUGCGUGAAGGCGGAAUCGCUAGUAAUCGCGGGUCAGCAUACCGCGGUGAAUACGUUCCCGGGCCUU
This 200-nucleotide ribosomal RNA is filed under the name uncultured organism. Its description in RNAcentral is "partial small subunit ribosomal RNA". It matches the Rfam family "Bacterial small subunit ribosomal RNA", at positions 1184 to 1382 of the family's 1533-position model. The record is from RNAcentral.